GCGGAUGUGGCGGAAUUGGUAGACGCGCCAGAUUUAGGUUCUGGUGUCUUAUGGCGUGGAGGUUCGAGUCCUCUCAUCCGCACCA
Molecule: transfer RNA, 85 nt
Filed under: Parvularcula lutaonensis
Lineage: Bacteria; Pseudomonadati; Pseudomonadota; Alphaproteobacteria; Parvularculales; Parvularculaceae
Description: tRNA-Leu
Rfam family: tRNA
About the family: Transfer RNA (tRNA) molecules are approximately 80 nucleotides in length. Their secondary structure includes four short double-helical elements and three loops (D, anti-codon, and T loops).
Source: RNAcentral